GACGAACGCUGGCGGCGUGCUUAACACAUGCAAGUCGAACGGAAAGGCCCUGCUUUUGUGGGGUGCUCGAGUGGCGAACGGGUGAGUAACACGUGAGUAACCUGCCCUUGACUUUGGGAUAACUUCAGGAAACUGGGGCUAAUACCGGAUAGGAGCUCCUGCUGCAUGGUGGGGGUUGGAAAGUUUCGGCGGUUGGGGAUGGACUCGCGGCUUAUCAGCUUGUUGGUGGGGUAGUGGCUUACCAAGGCUUUGACGGGUAGCCGGCCUGAGAGGGUGACCGGCCCCAUUAGGACUGAGAUACGGCCCAGACUCCUACGGGAGGCAGCAGUGGAGAAUAUUGCACAAUGGGAGGAAGCCUGAUGCAGCAACGCCGCGUGCGGGAUGACGGCCUUCGGGUUGUAAACCGCUUUCGCCUGUGACGAAGCGUGAGUGACGGUAAUGGGUAAAGAAGCACCGGCUAACUACGUG
RNAcentral lists this ribosomal RNA (468 nucleotides) under uncultured bacterium. RNAcentral describes it as "partial 16S ribosomal RNA". It matches the Rfam family "Bacterial small subunit ribosomal RNA", at positions 28 to 507 of the family's 1533-position model. The record is from RNAcentral.